Molecule: ribosomal RNA, 505 nt
Filed under: Pseudomonas sp. GWS-TZ-H179
Lineage: Bacteria; Pseudomonadati; Pseudomonadota; Gammaproteobacteria; Pseudomonadales; Pseudomonadaceae
Description: bacterial SSU rRNA
Rfam family: Bacterial small subunit ribosomal RNA
Source: RNAcentral
GAUGGAACGGCUGGCGGCAGGCCUAACACAUGCGAGACUCAGCGGAUGAAAGGAGCUUGCUCCUUGAUUUAGCGGCGGACGGGUGAGUAAUGCCUAGGAAUCUGCCUGGUAGUGGGGGAUAACGUCCGGAAACGGGCGCUAAUACCGCAUACGUCCUACGGGAGAAAGCAGGGGACCUUCGGGCCUUGCGCUAUCAAAUGAGCCUAGGUCGGAUUAUCUAGUUGGUGAGGUAAUGGCUCACCAAGGCGACGAUCCGUAACUGGUCUGAGAGGAUGAUCAGUCACACUGGAACUGAGACACGGUCCAGACUCCUACGGGAGGCAGCAGUGUGGAAUAUUGGACAAUGGGCGAAAGCCUGAUCCAUCCAUGCCGCGUGUGUGAAGGAGCCCUUCCAAUUGUAAAGCACUUUAGUUUGGGAGGAAGGGCAGUAAGUUAAUACCUUGCUGUUUUGACGUUACCCACAGAAUAAGCACCGGCUAACUUCGGGAGCGGCACCCGCGGUAAA